This is a small nucleolar RNA of Myotis myotis, 106 nucleotides long. RefSeq annotates it as small nucleolar RNA SNORD116. NCBI's taxonomy places the organism in Eukaryota, Metazoa, Chordata, Mammalia, Chiroptera, Vespertilionidae. The transcript has a single exon. The record is from RefSeq and is a predicted model, not a curated record.
GGAUCGAUGAUGAUUCCCCCAAAAAAAAUCCAAACCAACAUUCCUUGGGCUGAACAAAAUGAGUGAGAACUACAACCGUCGUCGUUCUCAUCGGAAACUGAGGUCC